RNAcentral lists this transfer RNA (76 nucleotides) under Aliterella atlantica CENA595. It matches the Rfam family "tRNA". From Rfam's summary of the family: Transfer RNA (tRNA) molecules are approximately 80 nucleotides in length. Their secondary structure includes four short double-helical elements and three loops (D, anti-codon, and T loops). Further hydrogen bonds mediate the characteristic L-shaped molecular structure. tRNAs have two regions of fundamental functional importance: the anti-codon, which is responsible for specific mRNA codon recognition, and the 3' end, to which the tRNAs corresponding amino acid is attached (by aminoacyl-tRNA synthetases). tRNAs cope with the degeneracy of the genetic code in two manners: having more than one tRNA (with a specific anti-codon) for a particular amino acid; and 'wobble' base-pairing, i.e. permitting non-standard base-pairing at the 3rd anti-codon position. Lineage: Bacteria; Bacillati; Cyanobacteriota; Cyanophyceae; Chroococcidiopsidales; Aliterellaceae. RNAcentral also lists the same sequence under 1 other name. The record is from Rfam by way of RNAcentral.
GCUCCUGUAGCCCAAUUGGAAGAAGGCGACAGACUUAAAAUCUGUUUAUGUAAGGGUUCGAGUCCCUUCAGGAGCA